ACCCAUAGAGGGNGCCAGGCCCGUAUAACGUUAAUGAUUAUUAGAUGACAUCCAAAGAGUCGUGUUGCUUGAUAGUGCAGCACUAAGGGGGGUAAACUCCAUCUAAAACUAAAUAUAACCAUGAGACCGAUAGUAAACAAGUACCGUGAGGGAAAGUUGAAAAGAACUCUGAAUAGAGAGUUAAAUAGUACGUGAAACUGCUUAGAGGUUAAGCCCGAUGAACUUGAAUAUCCGUUUUAGAAAAUUCAUCAUUAUGAUUAUAGUAUAUUAUAAAAAUGGUGUGCAUUUUUUCUAUAUGGACAUUGUAAUCUAUUAACAUAAAACAUUUAUCAAAAGAUCAGCGUAAGUUUAUUCAAAUUAUUUUAAUUGCAAUUUAACAUAGAAUAAAUGCUUUUGAUUUGAUAAAGUGUUGAUAGAUUUUACAUAUAGUGCAUAAAUAAUAUUUUAUAAUAGCAUAUUGAUUAAUAAUUUUUAUGUUUAUUAUAUGCACUUAUAUGAUUAACAAUGCGAAAGAUUCAGGAUACCUUCGGGACCCGUCUUGAAACACGGACCAAGGAGUCUAACAUAUUUGCAAGUUAUUGGGAAAAACCUAAAAGCAAAAUUAACAUAACAUAAUGGGAUUAGUUAUUAAACUAGUAUAUUAAUUCAAUCCCGGGGCGUUCUAUACAGUUAUGCAUAAUAAUAUUUAUAUUAUUUAUACCUCUAACUAGAGCGUACCUUGAGCAUAUAUGCUGUGACCCGAAAGAUGGUGAACUAUACUUGAUCAGGUUGAAGUCAGGGGAAACCCUGAUGGAAGACCGAAACAGUUCUGACGUGCAAAUCGAUUGUCAGAAUUGAGUAUAGGGGCGAAAGACCAAUCGAACCAUCUAGUAGCUGGUUCCCUCCGAAGUUUCCCUCAGGAUAGCUGGUGCAUUUAAAAUUUAUGUAAAAUAAUCUUAUCUGGUAAAGCGAAUGAUUAGAGGCCUUAGGGUCGAAACGAUCUUAACCUAUUCUCAAACUUUAAAUGGGUAAGAACCUCACCUUUCUUGGUAUGAAGGUUGUGGUUGUGAUAUAAUGUGCCCAGUGGGCCACUUUUGGUAAGCAGAACUGGCGCUGUGGGAUGAACCAAACGUAAUGUUACGGUGCCCAAAUUAACAACUCAUGCAGAUACCAUGAAAGGCGUU
This 1163-nucleotide ribosomal RNA is filed under the name Brachelia westermanni. RNAcentral describes it as "partial 28S ribosomal RNA". It matches the Rfam family "Eukaryotic large subunit ribosomal RNA", at positions 201 to 1225 of the family's 3401-position model. The record is from RNAcentral. Lineage: Eukaryota; Metazoa; Arthropoda; Insecta; Diptera; Tachinidae.